This 493-nucleotide long non-coding RNA is filed under the name Ictidomys tridecemlineatus (thirteen-lined ground squirrel). Its description in RNAcentral is "lncRNA (ENSSTOG00000032059.1)". Lineage: Eukaryota; Metazoa; Chordata; Mammalia; Rodentia; Sciuridae. The record is from RNAcentral.
AGGGACAGAAGGCAGAGUCAGGCAGGGACAGUGGCGUGGAAGACAGAAGACAGUCACGAGCCCGGGAGCGGCAGAAAAGACCAGCGCUUCCCAUCUCCACGUCUGGGCUGUCUUCCGUGGGAGCUGGUCUCAACACCUUGCUCCCAGCUCGUCUAAAAAUAGUCCUCACCUGCUGCCGCUUUUCCACCGUUUCCUUCAGCAGAUGCAGGAGAAGCCGUGAGAAGCUGCUCAGCGCUUGGUUCCUGGGCUGGAGGUUGGGGGAGAAAAGCUACUGCCAUUUUGGCUUUGGAAGACAGCUGCCCCCAGUGCCCACCGCUGCCACCCAGUGCUACUGGAAAUGGAGGAGCUGAGACAGCUUCUGGGGAUCCUGGCAGAAAAGGCAUCACUGUCUGGGUUCUCGGCAUCAGUCACGGAAGUAAAUCAAGCUUUGGUUUGGGUGGAAUUGAACAUCAUUGGUCCCAAGCUCACCGGGGGCACUCGUUUCUCCUGUGUC